AAGAAGUUGACUACUAAAGUUUCUUUGGAUUAUCGAUCCCUGGGUUGUGUUGUGCUGUGCACUGGUUGCGUUCCGCAGGAGUCGGUGGGAGUUUAGUUUGUAGUGCCUGUGUGGGUUCACCGUGUGUGUGUUUUCCAGUACUGUACACCUGUGUGGGUUGCGGUGGUUGCGUCUCCUGGAUCCACGUUUGGUCUUGACCUCUCUUUCCUCAGGAUAGCCUGCCUCCCUGUG
Sardina pilchardus (European sardine) is the source of this 231-nucleotide long non-coding RNA. RefSeq lists it as uncharacterized. The transcript is spliced from 2 exons. NCBI's taxonomy places the organism in Eukaryota, Metazoa, Chordata, Actinopteri, Clupeiformes, Clupeidae. The record is from RefSeq and is a predicted model, not a curated record.